This is a long non-coding RNA of Bos taurus (domestic cattle), 381 nucleotides long. Lineage: Eukaryota; Metazoa; Chordata; Mammalia; Artiodactyla; Bovidae. The record is from Ensembl.
AUGGUUUCAGGAUGAUUCAAAUACAUUACAUUUACUGUACACUUUAUUUCUGUUAUUAUUACAUUGGCUUCACCUCAGAGCAUCAGGCAUUAGAUCCCUGAGUCACAGGAAAGCAUCGUACUGUAACGAGUUGUUGCAAGGAUCAAAUAAGAUGAUGGAUACAGAAGAGUUAUAGCCACGUGGCAUAUGAUGUCUUAGUACCCCAACCAGGGAUCAAACCCCUUGCUGUGGGAUGGUGGCGUCUUAAGCACUGGACCACGGAGAUGGCCCAGGUUGGAUCCCUGAUCAUGGAACUAGAUCCAUACGCCACAAAUAAGAGUUCACGUGUUGCUCCUAAAGAUCCUGCACAGGGCAACAAAGAUCAAAGACACCGCCACUAAG